This 1434-nucleotide ribosomal RNA is filed under the name uncultured Bordetella sp. RNAcentral's name for it is "partial 16S-23S ribosomal RNA intergenic spacer". It matches the Rfam family "Bacterial small subunit ribosomal RNA". Lineage: Bacteria; Pseudomonadati; Pseudomonadota; Betaproteobacteria; Burkholderiales; Alcaligenaceae. The record is from RNAcentral.
CUGAUCCCAUUCGACUGAACGCUAUGGAUAAGCUACACGUGUCGAACGGCAGCACGGACUUCGGUCUGGUGGCGAGUGGCGAACGGCAAGAGUAUCGUAUCGACCUAGUAGCGGGGGAUAAUCCACAGCGAAAGCGUAGCUUAAAUGCACAUUGCUCCUUCGGGGGAAAGCGGGGGACCUUCGGGCCUCGCACUAUUGUAGAGCGGCCGAUAUCGGAUUAGCUAGUUGGUGGGGUAACGGCUCACCAAGGCGACGAUCCAGGGUUGUCGAGACGACCAGCCACACUGGGACUGAGACACGGCCCAGACUCCUACGGGAGGCAGCAGUGGGGAAUUUUGACAAUGGGGAAACUCCUGAUCCAGCCAUCCCUUUCUUCACCUGUUGGCAGGUGAUGAAGGCCUCAAGUUGUAAAGCACUUUUGGCAGGAAGAAACGGCAUCAGAUAAUACCUGCAACUGACGGUACUGCAGAUUACACCACUAACAUGUGCCAGCAGCCGCGGUAAUACGUAGGGGUGUUAACGUAAUCAUUGGUAAAGCGCAGCAGGCGGUCAAAAGAAAGAUGGGAAAUCCUGCAGAUGCACUGGAACUGUGACGGAACUACUGAGUUGAGAGUGUGUCGGAGGAGGUGAACCGCGUAGCAGUGAAAUGCGUAGAUAUGUGGAUAACACCGAUGGCGAAGGCAGCCUCCUGGGAUAACACUGACGCUCAUGCACGCAAGAGCAAACAGGAUUAGAUACUCCUGGUAGUCCACGCCCUAAACAUGUCAACUAGCUGCUGGGGCCUUCGGGCUCGGUAGCGCAGCUAACGCAGGAAGUUGACCGUCUGGGGAGUACGGUCGCAAGAUUAAAACCUGUGCCGAAUUGACGGGGACCCGCACAAGCGACGAGGUGGACGACCCGAUGCAGCUGCGAAACCCUACCUACCCUUUGAUACAAGUCUGGAAUCCCGAAGAGAUUUGGGAGUGUCGUAAGAGAACCGGGACACAGGUGCUGCAUGGCUGUCGUCAGCUCGUGUCGUGAGAUGUUGGGUUAAGUCCCGCAACGCCGCAACCUUGUCAUUAGUUGCUACGAAAGGGCACUCUAAUGAGACUGCCGGUACGGCCUGAGGGAAGGUGGGGAUGACGUCAAGUCUCAUGGCCCUUAUGGGUAGGGCUUCACGUCAUACAAUGGUCGGGACAGAGGGUCGCCAACCCGCGAGGGGAGCCGUCCCAGAAACCGAUCGGGUCCGGAUCGCAGUCUGCAACUCGACUGCGUGAAGCCGGAAUCGCCAGUAAUCGCGGAUCAGCAUGUCGUGCGCAGGUGAAUACGUCUCUGGGUCUGUACACACCGCCUGUCACACCAUGGGAGUGGGUUUUACCAGAAGUAGUUAGCCUAACCGUAAGGAGGGCGAUUACCACGGUAGGAUUCAUGACUGGGGUGGUCGUAACAAGGUAG